GACCCCUGGCAAUGGACAAAGAAAUGCCUCGUUGGUGGUGUUGCCUUUAUAUCCGUCAGAGGCAAAGCAAAUGAUCCUUUGUUCAUCCCAGCUUGAUGUUUGGGUUGAUGACCAGAGCUAUUUCAUGCUUGGGGCACAUAA
Small nucleolar RNA from Suncus etruscus (white-toothed pygmy shrew), 141 nucleotides. RefSeq annotates it as small nucleolar RNA SNORA48. NCBI's taxonomy places the organism in Eukaryota, Metazoa, Chordata, Mammalia, Eulipotyphla, Soricidae. The transcript has a single exon. The record is from RefSeq and is a predicted model, not a curated record.